RNAcentral lists this ribosomal RNA (945 nucleotides) under uncultured organism. Its description in RNAcentral is "bacterial SSU rRNA". It matches the Rfam family "Bacterial small subunit ribosomal RNA", at positions 469 to 1411 of the family's 1533-position model. The record is from RNAcentral.
UUGACGGUACCCUACUAGAAAGGAGCCGCUAACUUCGUGCCAGAAGCGUCGGUAAUACGGGGGCUCCAAGCGUUAUCCGGUGUUAUUGGGCGUAAAGAGUCGUGUAGGUGGUUGGGUAAGUUAUCUUUCAAAUAUCUUUGCUUAACAAAGAGGAGGGGGAUAAUACUGCUCGACUAGAAUUUUCUCAAGGGAGAUCGGAACUGAGGGAGGAGUAGUGAAAUGCGUUGAUACCCUCGGGAACACCAGUGGCGUAGGCGGAUCUCUGGGAGAAGAUUGACACUGAGACACGAAAGCUAGGGGAGCGAAGCAGAUUAGAGACCUGCGUAGUCCUAGCCGUAAACGCAUGCUUGCUAGCUGCAUGAAUCUACCUUCGGGUGGUAUCGUGUGGCGAAGGUAACCCGUUAAGCAAGCCGCCUGGAAAGUACGGCCGCAAGGCUGAAAUUCAAAGGAAUUGGCGGGGAGGCACACAACCAGUGGAACAUGUGGUUUAAUUCGAGACUAACCGAAGAACCUCACCAGGGUUUGACAUGUAGCUGCACGUCUUAAGAAAUUAAGACUCUCUUGAAGGUGCUACACAGGUGCUGCAUGGCUGUCGUCAGCUCGUUCCGUGAGGAGUGCCCUUAAGUGGGACAACGAGCGCAACCCCUAUUACAUGUUAGAAAUGUCAUGUAAGACUGCCUUGCCAUUUGGCGGGGAGGAAGGAGGGGCAGACGUCAAGUCCGCAUGGUCCUUAUGCCCUGGGCUACACACAUGUUACAAUGAGUACGGCAAUGAGUCUGUCGCGAGCACGUGAGUGUAAGCUAAUCUCUUAAAUGUACUCUCAGUGGGGAUUGAGGUCUGCAACUCGACCUCAUGAACACGGAAUUGGUAGUAAUCGCGGGUCAGCUAUACCGCGGUGAAUACGUUCUUGCCUCUUGCACACACCGCCCGUCAAACCAGCAAAGU